UGNUCUGUCACUGACGCUGAGGCUCGAAAGCGUGGGUAGCGAACAGGAUUAGAUACCCUGGUAGUNCACGCCGUAAACGCUGAGUGCUAGGUGUUAGGUCCUUUCCGGGACUUAGUGCCGACGCUAACGCAUUAAGCACUCCGCCUGGGGAGUACGACCGCAAGGUUGAAACUCAAAGGAAUUGACGGGGGCCCGCACAAGCGGUGGAGCAUGUGGUUUAAUUCGAAGCAACGCGAAGAACCUUACCAGGUCUUGACAUCCCGAUGCCCGCUCUAGAGAUAGAGUUUUACUUUUUGUACAUCGGAGACAGGUGGUGCAUGGUUGUCGUCAGCUCGUGUCGUGAGAUGUUGGGUUAANNNNNNCAACGAGCGCAACCCUUAUUGUUAGUUGCCAUCAUUAAGUUGGGCACUCUAGCGAGACUGCCGGUAAUAAACCGGAGGAAGGUGGGGAUGACGUCAAAUCAUCAUGCCCCUUAUGACCUGGGCUACACACGUGCUACAAUGGUUGGUACAACGAGUCGCAAGCCGGUGACGGCAAGCUAAUCUCUGAAAGCCAAUCUCAGUUCGGAUUGUAGGCUGCAACUCGCCUACAUGAAGUCGGAAUCGCUAGUAAUCGCGGAUCAGCACGCCGCGGUGAAUACGUUCCCGGGCCUNG
RNAcentral lists this ribosomal RNA (654 nucleotides) under uncultured bacterium. RNAcentral describes it as "bacterial SSU rRNA". It matches the Rfam family "Bacterial small subunit ribosomal RNA", at positions 730 to 1383 of the family's 1533-position model. The record is from RNAcentral.